This is a non-coding RNA of Arachis ipaensis, 175 nucleotides long. The record is from RefSeq and is a predicted model, not a curated record. Lineage: Eukaryota; Viridiplantae; Streptophyta; Magnoliopsida; Fabales; Fabaceae.
UGGGAUUUCACUUGGCAUAAGGGCCUCUUUUUCUUGCUCUUCCAAUUCCUCCUUUACAAAUUGGUUUUCAUCCUCAAUGCUUGGCAAUCCUAAGUGUUUCCUUAUUUGCUCUAAGUGCCUAUCCAUCUUCUUGAAGAGGAUUUCUUGUUCUUUCCAAGAUUCUAAAAUUUCUCUA